CCUACGGGCGGCAGCAGUGAGGAAUAUUGGUCAAUGGGAGGAAUCCUGAACCAGCCAUGCCGCGUGCAGGACGACGGCUCUACGAGUUGUAAACUGCUUUUGUACCGGGGUAAAAUGCUCUACGAGUAGGGUUUUGAAAGUACGGUACGAAUAAGGAUCGGCUAACUCCGUGCCAGCAGCCGCGGUAAUACGAAGGAUCCGAGCGUUAUCCGGAUUUAUUGGGUUUAAAGGGUGCGUAGGUUGUUUUAUAAGUUAGCGGUGAAAUACCGAUGCUCAACAUCGGGGCUGCCGCUGAUACUGUAGGACUAGAGAUCGGAUGCAGCAGGCGGAAUGUGUAGUGUAGCGGUGAAAUGCAUAGAUAUUACACAGAACACCGAUUGCGAAGGCAGCUUGCUAGGCCGGAUCUGACACUGAUGCACGAAAGCGUGGGGAUCGAACAGGAUUAGAUACCCUUGUAGUC
Molecule: ribosomal RNA, 460 nt
Filed under: uncultured bacterium
Lineage: Bacteria
Description: partial 16S ribosomal RNA
Rfam family: Bacterial small subunit ribosomal RNA
Source: RNAcentral